Ornithodoros turicata is the source of this 1370-nucleotide long non-coding RNA. RefSeq lists it as uncharacterized. The transcript has 2 exons. NCBI's taxonomy places the organism in Eukaryota, Metazoa, Arthropoda, Arachnida, Ixodida, Argasidae. The record is from RefSeq and is a predicted model, not a curated record.
UCCAGUAAGAACUGAAGUUAUGUGCAUUUUCACAUGCGCAACAGAAAAAGUGUGACGGCCUGUGGCGGCAAAGCUUACGUCGUCUGCUAUGAUAUAACAGGAAUAGACAAACCUAAACGACUAAACCUAUCACCUAUGAUGUAUCCAUCAUGGAUGUAUCAUCUGCUAAUUGGCACAGUGUGCUUCCAGCACUUACUUCGUUGUCUACGUCAAAGCAUCAAAGCUCAAGGGUUUUAGCGAGAGGCGCGGCGCAUUCUGUACUUCCGGUCGUCUCCCGUGUUUGUGUUGUCAGUGGUCUGUUUACAUCGCGCUGUUUUCUGUCUGGAUUUGGACACGAUACCUUUUAGGAGGCCUUGUCAUCGCUGAGAAUCUCUCUCAGAAUGGGAGCAUGCUCUGCUGUUGGGUGUACGCUCCGAAGUGGUACAAAUAAACUUUCAAAAGUCAAGUUCUACCGCUUCCCCGCUGAUCCUUCACAACGUGAGGCAUGGAAAAAUGCUUUGAAGCGCAGGGACUGGGAGCCGACAGCCUCAAGUCGCGUGUGCAGCCAGCAUUUCGUAACAAAACAACCAUCACGGGAUCCUGCACACCCUGACUGGGCACCAUCCGUGUUUGUAUACACCAAGCUGCAGAAGGUGCACCCGCUGAAGAGGUACAACCACGCGGCGAUCAGAGCCGCACUCAAGAACGACGGCUUGCUGACACCUACAUCCGAGCAGACUACCGCAACUACACAAGCCAGCUCAGAAGCACCAGCAAGUUCUCCAAAGGAUGUGUCUGAACCUGAGCCACCGUUUCAGAUGGAGUGUGUACCCAGUGCAGGAACCAGGAACGUAUUUGUUCAGACCGAACUCACUGGCGAUAAUAUUGACGAGCUCCAGCAGAAGGUUCAAAAGUUGAGAGAUGAGUGUGGAGCCUUAAGGCAGGGGCUACUUGGACAACGUGUUAUCUGCCACACUGUUUCGGGUGAUAAGCACAAUGCACGUACAGUGCCCAGAGAUCACAGAGUCUUUGGCCACAAUCCACGUGCGAUACGUAGUGUCCUCCUCCUGCCAGGCAACAACGUCACGUCAUGCUAGCCACAGGCUGUAUACAAUUUGUCUGGCUGAUACGUAGUGACGUUUCUUUGUAAGGUUCCAGCUUCUCGGGCGUAAACUUGCCCGGCGCGUUGACAACACUGUCGUGGAGUUCCGGCCGGGACACUGAGGCGUAUGAGAAGUUGGUGUCACUGAACAGAUGCAAGUUUCGUGUGUCGUACGGAUCUGGGAGUCAACGGCACCAUGUGGUUUCAGCUUCACCGGAUAUCGCUGCUGUAAAGUACGCGCUCGACAUCGCGGUGCACUGAAAUCGACGAUAAAAGCGUGCGACUGGAA